This 2167-nucleotide ribosomal RNA is filed under the name Staphylococcus aureus M1460. RNAcentral describes it as "bacterial LSU rRNA". It matches the Rfam family "Bacterial large subunit ribosomal RNA", at positions 755 to 2925 of the family's 2925-position model. The record is from RNAcentral. Lineage: Bacteria; Bacillati; Bacillota; Bacilli; Caryophanales; Staphylococcaceae.
GGUAACACUGAAUGGAGGACCGAACCGACUUACGUUGAAAAGUGAGCGGAUGAACUGAGGGUAGCGGAGAAAUUCCAAUCGAACCUGGAGAUAGCUGGUUCUCUCCGAAAUAGCUUUAGGGCUAGCCUCAAGUGAUGAUUAUUGGAGGUAGAGCACUGUUUGGACGAGGGGCCCCUCUCGGGUUACCGAAUUCAGACAAACUCCGAAUGCCAAUUAAUUUAACUUGGGAGUCAGAACAUGGGUGAUAAGGUCCGUGUUCGAAAGGGAAACAGCCCAGACCACCAGCUAAGGUCCCAAAAUAUAUGUUAAGUGGAAAAGGAUGUGGCGUUGCCCAGACAACUAGGAUGUUGGCUUAGAAGCAGCCAUCAUUUAAAGAGUGCGUAAUAGCUCACUAGUCGAGUGACACUGCGCCGAAAAUGUACCGGGGCUAAACAUAUUACCGAAGCUGUGGAUUGUCCUUUGGACAAUGGUAGGAGAGCGUUCUAAGGGCGUUGAAGCAUGAUCGUAAGGACAUGUGGAGCGCUUAGAAGUGAGAAUGCCGGUGUGAGUAGCGAAAGACGGGUGAGAAUCCCGUCCACCGAUUGACUAAGGUUUCCAGAGGAAGGCUCGUCCGCUCUGGGUUAGUCGGGUCCUAAGCUGAGGCCGACAGGCGUAGGCGAUGGAUAACAGGUUGAUAUUCCUGUACCACCUAUAAUCGUUUUAAUCGAUGGGGGGACGCAGUAGGAUAGGCGAAGCGUGCGAUUGGAUUGCACGUCUAAGCAGUAAGGCUGAGUAUUAGGCAAAUCCGGUACUCGUUAAGGCUGAGCUGUGAUGGGGAGAAGACAUUGAGUCUUCGAGUCGUUGAUUUCACACUGCCGAGAAAAGCCUCUAGAUAGAAAAUAGGUGCCCGUACCGCAAACCGACACAGGUAGUCAAGAUGAGAAUUCUAAGGUGAGCGAGCGAACUCUCGUUAAGGAACUCGGCAAAAUGACCCCGUAACUUCGGGAGAAGGGGUGCUCUUUAGGGUUAACGCCCAGAAGAGCCGCAGUGAAUAGGCCCAAGCGACUGUUUAUCAAAAACACAGGUCUCUGCUAAACCGUAAGGUGAUGUAUAGGGGCUGACGCCUGCCCGGUGCUGGAAGGUUAAGAGGAGUGGUUAGCUUCUGCGAAGCUACGAAUCGAAGCCCCAGUAAACGGCGGCCGUAACUAUAACGGUCCUAAGGUAGCGAAAUUCCUUGUCGGGUAAGUUCCGACCCGCACGAAAGGCGUAACGAUUUGGGCACUGUCUCAACGAGAGACUCGGUGAAAUCAUAGUACCUGUGAAGAUGCAGGUUACCCGCGACAGGACGGAAAGACCCCGUGGAGCUUUACUGUAGCCUGAUAUUGAAAUUCGGCACAGCUUGUACAGGAUAGGUAGGAGCCUUUGAAACGUGAGCGCUAGCUUACGUGGAGGCGCUGGUGGGAUACUACCCUAGCUGUGUUGGCUUUCUAACCCGCACCACUUAUCGUGGUGGGAGACAGUGUCAGGCGGGCAGUUUGACUGGGGCGGUCGCCUCCUAAAAGGUAACGGAGGCGCUCAAAGGUUCCCUCAGAAUGGUUGGAAAUCAUUCAUAGAGUGUAAAGGCAUAAGGGAGCUUGACUGCGAGACCUACAAGUCGAGCAGGGUCGAAAGACGGACUUAGUGAUCCGGUGGUUCCGCAUGGAAGGGCCAUCGCUCAACGGAUAAAAGCUACCCCGGGGAUAACAGGCUUAUCUCCCCCAAGAGUUCACAUCGACGGGGAGGUUUGGCACCUCGAUGUCGGCUCAUCGCAUCCUGGGGCUGUAGUCGGUCCCAAGGGUUGGGCUGUUCGCCCAUUAAAGCGGUACGCGAGCUGGGUUCAGAACGUCGUGAGACAGUUCGGUCCCUAUCCGUCGUGGGCGUAGGAAAUUUGAGAGGAGCUGUCCUUAGUACGAGAGGACCGGGAUGGACAUACCUCUGGUGUACCAGUUGUCGUGCCAACGGCAUAGCUGGGUAGCUAUGUGUGGACGGGAUAAGUGCUGAAAGCAUCUAAGCAUGAAGCCCCCCUCAAGAUGAGAUUUCCCAACUUCGGUUAUAAGAUCCCUCAAAGAUGAUGAGGUUAAUAGGUUCGAGGUGGAAGCAUGGUGACAUGUGGAGCUGACGAAUACUAAUCGAUCGAAGACUUAAUCAA